GACGAACGCUGGCGGCGUGCUUAACACAUGCAAGUCGAACGGAAAGGCCCCCUUGUGGGGUACUCGAGUGGCGAACGGGUGAGUAACACGUGAGUAACCUACCCUUGACUUUGGGAUAACUUCAGGAAACUGGGGCUAAUACCGGAUAGGAGCUCCUGCUGCAUGGUGGGGGUUGGAAAGUUUCGGCGGUUGGGGAUGGACUCGCGGCUUAUCAGCUUGUUGGUGGGGUAGUGGCUCACCAAGGCUUUGACGGGUAGCCGGCCUGAGGGGGUGACCGGCCACAUUGGGACUGAGAUACGGCCCAGACUCCUACGGGAGGCAGCAGUGGGGAAUAUUGCACAAUGGGCGGAAGCCUGAUGCAGCAACGCCGCGUGCGGGAUGACGGCCUUCGGGUUGUAAACCGCUUUCGCCUGUGACGAAGCGUGAGUGACGGUAAUGGGUAAAGAAGCACCGGCUAACUACGUG
This 465-nucleotide ribosomal RNA is filed under the name uncultured bacterium. Its description in RNAcentral is "partial 16S ribosomal RNA". It matches the Rfam family "Bacterial small subunit ribosomal RNA", at positions 28 to 507 of the family's 1533-position model. The record is from RNAcentral.